CGCGACCGGCAGCCUCUGCACCGCGACCUGCGGCGGCUCCUCCUCGGGCACCACGGCCUCGACCCGGGUUAACAUUACCCCGGCCUCCCUGUCCGCGACCCCCACCUGGACCAUUGCGUCCGGCCACGCGGCCUGCUGGGCCACCACCACGUCCACCACCCCGGCCACGGCCUCCAGCACCACGGCCCGCACCCGCGUUGGCCGGCUGAAUAGGGGCAGCGACGGGCGGCGCCUGGACAGGUCCAGCGUGUACUGGAGCGGGUGCCGCCACAGCAGCAGCAAAGGAAGGU
RNAcentral lists this long non-coding RNA (290 nucleotides) under Volvox carteri. Its description in RNAcentral is "long non-coding RNA (VCAR_LNC002600)". The record is from RNAcentral. Lineage: Eukaryota; Viridiplantae; Chlorophyta; Chlorophyceae; Chlamydomonadales; Volvocaceae.